This 61-nucleotide small nucleolar RNA is filed under the name Vicugna pacos (alpaca). RNAcentral's name for it is "Small nucleolar RNA SNORD113/SNORD114 family (ENSVPAG00000016647.1)". It matches the Rfam family "Small nucleolar RNA SNORD113/SNORD114 family". From Rfam's summary of the family: The imprinted human domain at 14q32 contains two clusters of tandemly repeated small nucleolar RNAs named 14q(I) and 14q(II) snoRNAs. These two clusters are named SNORD113 and SNORD114 respectively in the HGNC approved gene symbol nomenclature. The record is from Rfam by way of RNAcentral. Lineage: Eukaryota; Metazoa; Chordata; Mammalia; Artiodactyla; Camelidae.
UGGACCAAUGAUGAGAUUGGAGGGUGUCUGAAUCAAUGAGGUCUGUAACAAUGAGGUCCAU